RNAcentral lists this small RNA (499 nucleotides) under Pongo abelii (Sumatran orangutan). RNAcentral's name for it is "processed transcript". The record is from RNAcentral. Lineage: Eukaryota; Metazoa; Chordata; Mammalia; Primates; Hominidae.
AGCGCGGAGACUUCGGAGCGAGCCGGGGCAGUCGGGGCCGAGGCAGCCCUUCCUGACUGUGACUCUGGACACCUCGCUGAAUCUCUGCUUCCUCCCCUGCAAAAAUGAAAAUUCAUUCAAUGGAUGAAGUUAAGAAGUGCCAAGGGUGAGGAUCUCCUUUAGAAGAGGAGAAGCCUUGCAUCAACCUCUUGGGCCUCAGCCAAGAUGUCUGAGAUACUGUCCACUAUAGUCUCCAAGAACAUGACCAAUGACAGGACCCCAUCACAUUGGAUUGGAGGCCCACCCCACUCCAGAAUGGCCUCAGCUUAGUGAAUUACAGCUGCAAAGACCUUAUUUCCAAACAAGGUCACAUUCUAAGACAGUGGGGGUUGAGACUUCAACAUAUGAAUUGGGAUGACACGAUUCAACCCACAACAGACCAUGAGGAAGGUGUCACCAUGAAGAGAACAGCCUGGAAUCCAUGAACAUCAGCUCUUCCUCAAGCACUGAAGAGAACCCA